This 253-nucleotide ribosomal RNA is filed under the name uncultured bacterium. RNAcentral describes it as "partial 16S ribosomal RNA". It matches the Rfam family "Bacterial small subunit ribosomal RNA", at positions 524 to 776 of the family's 1533-position model. The record is from RNAcentral.
UACAGAGGCCUCGAGCGUUAGGCGGAAUCACUGGGCUUAAAGCGUGUGUAGGUGGAUGCCUAAGUACCUUGUGAAAUCCCUCGGCUUAACUGAGGACGUGCGGGAGAUACUGAAGGGCUUGAGUCCGGAAGAGGGUGGUGGAAUUCCCAGUGUAGCGGUGAAAUGCGUAGAUAUUGGGAGGAACACCUGUGGCGAAAGCGGCGCACUGGACCAUAACUGACGCUGAUGCGCGAAAGCUAGGGGAGCAAACAGG